RNAcentral lists this ribosomal RNA (393 nucleotides) under uncultured bacterium. Its description in RNAcentral is "partial 16S ribosomal RNA". It matches the Rfam family "Bacterial small subunit ribosomal RNA", at positions 523 to 918 of the family's 1533-position model. The record is from RNAcentral.
AUACGGAGGAUGCGAGCGUUAUCCGGAUUUAUUGGGUUUAAAGGGAGCGUAGGUGGGAUAUUAAGUCAGCUGUGAAAGUUUGGGGCUCAACCUUAAAAUUGCAGUUGAUACUGGUUUCCUUGAGUACGGUACAGGUGGGCGGAAUUCGUGGUGUAGCGGUGAAAUGCUUAGAUAUCACGAAGAACUCCGAUCGCGAAGGCAGCUCACCGGGCCGGAACUGACACUGAUGCUCGAAAGUGCGGGUAUCAAACAGGAUUAGAUACCCUGGUAGUCCGCACAGUAAACGAUGAAUACUCGCUGUUUGCGAUACACGGUAAGCGGCCAAGCGAAAGCGUUAAGUAUUCCACCUGGGGAGUACGCCGGCAACGGUGAAACUCAAAGGAAUUGACCGGG